AAAUAAGAAGCGAAAUAUUUGCAACCAGUUUCGACCUGGUUAACUUGAUGUUAAAUCAUCCUUA
RNAcentral lists this transfer RNA (64 nucleotides) under Hemicordulia tau. RNAcentral describes it as "tRNA-Arg". The record is from RNAcentral. Lineage: Eukaryota; Metazoa; Arthropoda; Insecta; Odonata; Corduliidae.